UAAUUGUAGAAAUCACCCAUUUAAAGAGAAAUGCGCGGACUUCCAAACCCCAUACUGCUUUACUUUUUCCAAACCCCAUGCUGUUUUACUUUACUAUUUAAAACCUGCUUUAAAAUUUGUGUUUUAAAGAAAACUUUUUUAACUUUUAUUUAAAAAAAACCCUAAAUGCCUUGGACAUUAUCUCAUCUCCCUCACUCUCCCUUUCUUCUCCAGCCGAAAGGCUCAUUUCAAGCCCCCAACCAUUUUCAAAAUCUGAUCGUGACCAACGGAGCAAGGCCCACCGACGGCGUGAAUGCGAUAUAACUCCGGUCAUGAAGACGUGAAGGAGGGCAACAUGGUAUGUGGGUGCUAACGUGGAGUAGGGCGCGCGCGUAUGGAGGAGGUGAUCGUGGCUGCGGCGCAAAGAAGGCUUCUAGUGCUUAGGGUUUGCUGAAAAGUGUUUUAGGUUUGGGGUAUUUUGGGGCUGUUUGGGUUAAUUGUUUUUGUAAUUUUGGGUUUUCUUAUGUGGAAUUAUUUGGGUUUUAUUUAUUGGGCUGGAAUUAGGUAGCCCGGGCUAAAAUUGGGUAUUACAAAUAUAAUGGUGCAUAAAUUUACACACCAAUGUUUUUAGUUUUCUUUUUUUUGGAAUAUUUAUAAUGAUUUUUUAAUCGUUUGACACAAUAUAA
Molecule: long non-coding RNA, 665 nt
Organism: Gossypium arboreum
Lineage: Eukaryota; Viridiplantae; Streptophyta; Magnoliopsida; Malvales; Malvaceae
Exons: 2
Source: RefSeq, a predicted model, not a curated record